RNAcentral lists this ribosomal RNA (1006 nucleotides) under Mastodia sp. Its description in RNAcentral is "SSU rRNA". It matches the Rfam family "Eukaryotic small subunit ribosomal RNA", at positions 96 to 1115 of the family's 1831-position model. The record is from RNAcentral. Lineage: Eukaryota; Fungi; Ascomycota; Eurotiomycetes; Verrucariales; Verrucariaceae.
GCUCAUAAAUCAGUUAUAGUUUAUUUGAUAGUACCUUCUACCUGGAUAACCGUGGUAAUUCUAGAGCUAAUACAUGCUAAAAACCUCGACUCACGAAGAGGUGUAUUUAUUAGAUAAAAAACCAAUGCCCUCCGGGGCUCAGUGGUGAUUCAUGAUAACUCAACGAAUCGCAUGGCCUUGCGCCGGCGAUGGUUCAUUCAAAUUUCUGCCCUAUCAACUUUCGAUGGUAGGAUAGUGGCCUACCAUGGUUUCAACGGGUAACGGGGAAUUAGGGUUCGAUUCCGGAGAGGGAGCCUGAGAAACGGCUACCACAUCCAAGGAAGGCAGCAGGCGCGCAAAUUACCCAAUUCUGAUACAGAGAGGUAGUGACGAUAAAUACCGAUACAGGGCUCUUUCGGGUCUUGUAAUUGGAAUGAGUACAAUCUAAACCCCUUAACGAGGAACAAUUGGAGGGCAAGUCUGGUGCCAGCAGCCGCGGUAAUUCCAGCUCCAAUAGCGUAUAUUAAAGUUGUUGCAGUUAAAAAGCUCGUAGUUGAACCUUGGGCCUGGCCGAUCUGUCUUCCUAAUCGUUGUACGGAUUCGGUCGGGCCUUUCCUUCUGGGGAGCCCCAUGUCCUUCACUGGGCGUGGUGGGGAACCAGGACUUUUACCUUGAAAAAAUUAGAGUGUUCAAAGCAGGCCUUUGCUCGAAUACAUUAGCAUGGAAUAAUGGAAUAGGACAGCAGUUCUAUUUUGUUGGUUUCUAGGACCGCUGUAAUGAUUAAUAGGGAUAGUCGGGGGCGUCAGUAUUCAAUUGUCAGAGGUGAAAUUCUUGGAUUUAUUGAAGACUAACUAUUGCGAAAGCAUUCGCCAAGGAUGUUUUCAUUAAUCAGUGAACGAAAGUUAGGGGAUCGAAGACGAUCAGAUACCGUCGUAGUCUUAACCAUAAACUAUGCCGACUAGGGAUUGGACGGUGUUUCUUUUAUGACCCGUUCAGCACCUUACGAGAAAUCAAAGUUUUGGGCUCU